AUUCCCCUUGGCUCUGCUAAAAAAAAACAACAGAAUGAAGCUUCCCUGGGAGAUGGGAAAUGAUUCAGCUAAUGAAAUCAUACCUAUCUUUAACAAAGCAUCACCCCCUGUUUCACACUCAGAAAACAGUCAGUUGAAUGGCAGACUCCAGCCAGUAAGGACAAGGACAAUAUUCUGUAGCACUGGAAACCAAUUUCAAGCAUUGCAGCUGAGACACAGAUACUAAAGGAACUGCACAGUCUUACAUCCAGGGAGCUUUGUUGAGAAAACACAAUGAAUAUUUUUUUCUUAUCCAGUCUUUUGACCAUAGCCUGUUCUUAUCCAAUCUUCAAGGGGCAGCAGAACAAAAGACUAGUGAAAAGAGACCAUUCUGCAAGCCAUGAGGUGGCCUAUCUGUAUCAGCUUUAUCCCGGCGGACUACAAAGCCAGCGCCAAGUCCAGCCACUUGCCUCAGUUGCUGGAGUAACACAAGCAGUGAGAAUUUAUUAUCCUUAUGGAUAUGUCCAGCUACACCCCAGAGUGGUCUAUGGGUUAUAUCAACUUUAUAUCAUACCUAUAAGACCCGUUAGGCCCCCGAUACAUACAACUACCCCCCGGCCUCCAACCCCUACAACAACCGCAAAGCCAAUACUGACUGUCAGACCACCAGCUCCACCUGAACGCACUACUGCAGCUCCGCGAACAACCGCCGUUCCAAGAGGGGACGUCUGAGCACAUGUUGGACAGAAGACCACACAGGAAACCCUUCUGCUGGAACUCAACCUCUUUCUCUGAAAGUACAGAUUUUCGUAGAUACCUUUUCGGAAAUAUCUUUUCCAGAUUACUUUGUUUUUCCGUCAGCAUUGUCAUUUUUUUCCUAAAUCUUACGAAUUUAGCUUGAAAUAUAAUCAGUGUAAUCUAACUAAUAUAAGUACUUAAUAAAUCAUAUGAACUAUUACUGGGUAAUUUCGAAGGCACUAGCAUUAGUACUAUCCCAUCUGACUAGUUAGUCCUGGAUUACAGGUAAUAAGGAUCUGUGAAAACCUGGAUAAUUUAAUAGAUUGUUUGUUUAACAGAUUCAAAGCUGUACAUUGAAAUUAUGUUGUCCUGUAUAUGCCACCUAUUACUAAAUGACCUUAAUAGAUUUUUUAAAAUGUUAAUAAAUCAAUACAGCAAUACAGCAUCCUAAUACUGUACGUAAAAUUAGUUAAUGAAAUUUAUGUUAUGAUCGUUCAAAAUGGGAUUACACCACAGUGUUAUGUAAAUGCAGUGUAUAUAUUUAUAAAGUGUACAAUAUUUUCUUACACAAUAUGUCUGGGAAGCUUGUUCCAUAUUUUCAUAACCUUUUGGGUAAAAAUGUGCCUCCUCUGUUAUCUGUUUUAGUUAAGUUUCCACAUAAUUCCACUUGUGUACGCUGUAGUUUGUGCUCCUGCAGAGAACCUCUGGGGUGAUUCUGACACUGUCUCUGAGGAUUUUGAUCACUUGUAUCACGUCCCAUUAUCAUCAUCUCUACUGAAGACUACAGUGGCUCAAUUCCUUCAGCCUGUCAGUUUCAACCUGACAGUCCUCUGAAGUCCUCUAAUUCCUUUCAGAAAUGCACUUCUCUGAAUUGAUUCCAGAGAAACAAUAUUGUUUUUGAAAUCUGUAGACCAUAAACAUAAAAAAAAUUCUAAAAUGGGUAUUUAGUGCAUUUUACAAUUUUAAUAUAUCAUCUACACCUACAGUAUAUAUCCUAACAUAUUUGUUUGCAUUUUUCAUUGCUUCUCUGUAUUGUCUAGAAGAUGUAAAUGAUGUAUCAAAAUAAAAACGUUCAUAAAUGCUACCUGCUAGCUCAGUGCUUCCCACUUUCUAUUAAUAAGUUAUGUUUUUGCCAGCUGUCCUUCUCUAUAUUAAACAUUAUCUGCCAGGUGUUUGCCUAGUCUUGAAUUUUAUCUAAAUCUUUCAGAAUUUCAUUCACUGUUUCUGCAGUGUUUGCCAAUCUUCCUAUUAUGUUAUCAUCUGCAAACUUUACUAGUUUAGUAACUAUACUAUAAUGCAAACCAUUGAUAUAAAUUACAGACACAAACAAUCACAUUUAUGUCCUGUACAAAUCUGGGCAGAUUUUUUAGGAACGUUUAGCUGUAUAAAUUAUACUAUGCAAACCAGGCUGAGACUGGUUCUUGGUUCAAACAUUAAACAGCUUAGUAGGCUUGACAUUUAUAAUGGCUCGUGUGGUGUGCUCAGGCUACCAGUUAUAAUUAGGAGUAAAUACCAGUUGUUCAGUUAAUGGAAGUGUGGGAGUUUCUAAGCUAAAUGGGAAACGUUAACACCUCCUGACAUCACCAACCAAGCUUAAUAAACAUUAAUUCUGUCUUGGGCCGCUUGUGGAAAAAAAAACAGAAGGGGAUAAUCUGCCUGAAGACAGGGAACUGGGGAAUUCACCUUGGUUUUCAGGAAUUGCACUUGAGUGGAAAUUUUCCUUUUUGUCCCCACUGUAAGUAGUAUUUACAUUUUUCCUCAUAUUUCCCUUUUAUCUUUUUUAAAAACAAAACCUGUAUUUAGUGGUAGCAUCUCAGAAAGGGUCCUAGGUGCGUUUGUGUAGCUGCAUAGUUUCAUUUCUCCUGUUGCAUGUGGAGUUUACAGUGUGGCAAGCAAUGCUUUGUACUGGGGUUGUUACUGCUUGGGCGUUGUGAUGAAGUUUCAAGUUUCCUGAGGCUUUCGGUUUGGUUUCGUUAUUCUUUAUCAUGUUAUUGUUCAUUUCGUUAAAAUUUGAAAAAAAAGUCACGUUUCUGGCAUGCUUUGUGAACUGUGUGAAAUAUUUUUUUAUUGGAUUUAAGUGCAAUCUGUGGCUCCACAUUAAUACAAUAAAUAUUGAAUUCAUAUUUACUGAAUACAGUAACG
RNAcentral lists this long non-coding RNA (2859 nucleotides) under Lepisosteus oculatus (spotted gar). RNAcentral's name for it is "lncRNA (ENSLOCG00000022880.1)". The record is from RNAcentral. Lineage: Eukaryota; Metazoa; Chordata; Actinopteri; Semionotiformes; Lepisosteidae.